Small nuclear RNA from Polyodon spathula (Mississippi paddlefish), 192 nucleotides. RefSeq annotates it as U2 spliceosomal RNA. Lineage: Eukaryota; Metazoa; Chordata; Actinopteri; Acipenseriformes; Polyodontidae. The record is from RefSeq and is a predicted model, not a curated record. The transcript has a single exon.
AUCGCUUGUCGGUGGUGGAACGAUCAAGUGUAGUAUCUGAUUCUUAUCAGUUUAAUAUCUGAUACGUCCCCCAUAGGGGGACCGUCUAUAUUAAAUGGAUUUUUGGAAUCGGGAGAUGGAAGCGGGGCUUGCUCCGUCCACUCCACGCAUCGACCCGGUAUUGCAGUACCUCCGGCGGACAAGGUACAAGUG